Long non-coding RNA from Gracilinanus agilis (Agile Gracile Mouse Opossum), 256 nucleotides. RefSeq lists it as uncharacterized. NCBI's taxonomy places the organism in Eukaryota, Metazoa, Chordata, Mammalia, Didelphimorphia, Didelphidae. The transcript has 2 exons. The record is from RefSeq and is a predicted model, not a curated record.
GGGAAAUGAAGCAAGCUAUCCCCUGGAAAUGUGCUCACACUGUUUUGAACUAAUACAGGGGCUUACCAGCAAGUAUUUUAUUUUGAAGUAAGAAUGACAUGACUUUACUGACAGAUAAAUAUUUCAUGGAAAGAGCAUUGGAUUUGGAGUCAGAAGACUUUGGUUGAGCAAUAAAGUUUAAUAAUAUUUUCCUAUUUCUUUAAUAAGAAUCUCAGUAUUAUCUUUUCCUUCAAGAAAAAUAAAGGUUUUAGACUUA